RNAcentral lists this small RNA (325 nucleotides) under Arabidopsis thaliana (thale cress). RNAcentral's name for it is "ATSL055680". The record is from RNAcentral. Lineage: Eukaryota; Viridiplantae; Streptophyta; Magnoliopsida; Brassicales; Brassicaceae.
UUUUUUUGUAAAUUGUAUCUAUCUAUAAUAUAUUUUUAUUUUAUAGUUUACAAUUGUUAUUAAGUAACGUCCUGUCAAACCCGUCCCGCCAAACAUGUCCCGUAAAAAAACUAUUUAUUUAUAUUAAUAUUGAUCUUAUUUAUGAUAUGUUUAUAAAUCAUUGUCUAUAUAUUUUUGUCGAUGCGGGACGUUGAACCCACACAUUUUUUGCCAAUUGGUUAAUAUAUAUUCAUUUUUAAAAUUUUGAAUCAUAAAAUAUGACGGAAAAAAUUAAGAUUUUUUUAAACUCUAUAUAUUAUAUAAUGAUGUUAAAAAUUGUGAUAUA